AACCCCCUGCCAUGUCCGUGAUCGGCAGGUUGUCCGAGCCAACAUUGAUGUCGAGGGUGACUCCGCUGUUCGGUGAUAGAGAAGUCGUCUAUGGCGAAUUCCAUGAGGCGGAUAAGAGUAACGCCCACCUAACUUGGUUAGGUUCGAUAUCAACUUGUUCGACACGGCAGCGGCGGGGGGUUG
This 183-nucleotide non-coding RNA is filed under the name Desulfobulbales bacterium. RNAcentral describes it as "6S RNA". It matches the Rfam family "6S / SsrS RNA". From Rfam's summary of the family: E. coli 6S RNA was the first non coding RNA to be sequenced, but its function was unknown until recently. The record is from RNAcentral. Lineage: Bacteria; Pseudomonadati; Thermodesulfobacteriota; Desulfobulbia; Desulfobulbales. RNAcentral also lists the same sequence under 1 other name.